This 433-nucleotide ribosomal RNA is filed under the name uncultured bacterium. Its description in RNAcentral is "partial 16S ribosomal RNA". It matches the Rfam family "Bacterial small subunit ribosomal RNA", at positions 29 to 507 of the family's 1533-position model. The record is from RNAcentral.
AGCGAACGCUGGCGGCAGGCCUAACUCAUGCAAGUCGAACGGAUCCUUCGGGAUUAGUGGCGGACGGGUGAGUAACACGUGGGAACGUGCCCUUUGGUUCGGAACAACUCAGGGAAACUUGAGCUAAUACCGGAUGUGCCCUUCGGGGGAAAGAUUUAUCGCCAUUGGAGCGGCCCGCGUCUGAUUAGCUAGUUGGUGAGGUAACGGCCCACCAAGGCGACGAUCAGUAGCUGGUCUGAGAGGAUGAUCAGCCACACUGGGACUGAGACACGGCCCAGACUCCUACGGGAGGCAGCAGUGGGGAAUCUUGCGCAAUGGGCGAAAGCCUGACGCAGCCAUGCCGCGUGAAUGAUGAAGGUCUUAGGAUUGUAAAAUUCUUUCAGCGGGGACGAUAAUGACGGUACCCGCAGAAGAAGCUCCGGCUAACUUCGUG